Physella acuta is the source of this 581-nucleotide long non-coding RNA. RefSeq lists it as uncharacterized. The record is from RefSeq and is a predicted model, not a curated record. Lineage: Eukaryota; Metazoa; Mollusca; Gastropoda; Physidae.
UAUUUAUUUUAAAAUAAACCUUAUGCCUAGAUAUCUAUAUCUAAAUUUUCCAAAUGUAUUUUCAGAAGUUCGAAUGAGGAGAUGGAGAUGGCUGGGCCAUGUCCUUCGCAUGAGCAAAAGAUGACUCCCCAACAUGGCACUGGAAAACGAAAGAGAGGAAGACCACUGGGAACAUGGAGGAGAUAGAUGGAAGAAGAAGUGCAAGCUGCUGGCAAGACCUGGCAUGAACUAAAGUGGCUCGCCCAAGACAGAGUGGAAUGGCAGGGAUUUGUUGCUGCCCUAUACUCCACAGGGAGUGAUGAGGAUUAAAGAAAGCAGACACAGAUCCAGUGUUGGAAGAGGAAGUAUUUUACAUAAAAGAAAAAAAAAACAACAGAUGUCAAAGCAGGUAUUGGCUGGUGCAGAAACAGCAUGAAAGGAUUUUUGUAUCUUUCCUGGACUGAUGACUUUCAUUCAACCUGAUCAUUUUUUUAUUUGCAUCAACUAAAACUUGUUAUAUAAAUCACUUUGUUGUACUCACACCUUAAACUUAAACCCAUUAUUACUUUUGUACUUUUCAUUGAUAAUUGAAAUUUAUAUAA